This 349-nucleotide ribosomal RNA is filed under the name Ophryoxus gracilis. RNAcentral's name for it is "partial 16S ribosomal RNA". It matches the Rfam family "Archaeal large subunit ribosomal RNA", at positions 1996 to 2666 of the family's 2987-position model. The record is from RNAcentral. Lineage: Eukaryota; Metazoa; Arthropoda; Branchiopoda; Diplostraca; Macrotrichidae.
ACCUGCUAGCUGCGGUAUUUUGACCGUGCUAAGGUAGCAUAAUCAUUUGUCUUUUAAUUGAAGGCUAGUAUGAAAGGUACGACGAGGGGAAUUCUGUCUUGAAUUUUAUUUCUAAGUGCAAAAGCUUAGAUGAUUUUGAGGGACGAUCAGACCCUAUAGAGCUUUUUGGUUGGGGCGACUAGAACUGAUCCCAGUGGAUGGAUUGAAAGACUAAGUUACCUUAGGGAUAACAGCGUUAUCCUUUUGGAGAGUUCAUAUCGAUAAAAGGGGUUGCGACCUCGAUGUUGGAUUAAGAGAUUAAUAGGGUGCAAAAGCUCUUUUGGAAAGUCUGUUCGACUUUUAAUAUCUU